CUACACUAGAGAGAAGUGCUGGCACAGCUUUUAGGUUUGCACCACCUGAGAAACUGCAAUCUUGCCAAGCUGAAGCCUUUUAAGUGGAAAGGCAGGAAGAAAUGACAGUGGUUCAGAUCAGAAAAAGAACAACUUUGGGGACCAGAUAUUCGAGUCAACCAAGCAAAUUAAGAGAGGGGAGUUUGAUUUGAGGAGGAAGCAACUUCCCAAAGGCCAAACGUUAGGAGAGGAACUGAAGUCUUUGGAGCUCCAGAGUGCUGCGACAGCCACGAGCCUGCUCUUCCUAGCAAGGGCUGCUGCAGGCAUCUGGGAUGAACAUCUGCCCUUCUGUUUUGGGUUCUCCUCAGCACAGAUAUUCAAGAGCUGUCUGGAUGCAUUCCAGUGUGACCUGCUCUGGGUGAUCCUGCUCUGGCAGGUGGGCUGGACCAGAUGAUCUUUCGAGACCCCUUCCAGCCCCUGACAUUCUGUCAUUCUGUGAAUCUAAGGUGAGAGAUUUGCUCUGGGAGGCAGAGAAUAGGGCCAGUCUUCAGCAAAUAUAUAGUAUCAAGUGGCCUGAACCCCUCAAAAAUGAAGGCAGAAGGCAAGAAAUACACUAAUACAUAAUAAACUACAAGAAUAUCUAAGAAUAUGUCUGUCUGUGCCUUUUAUUUAUGGUAUAUCCAUUUAUUUCCUCUGUGACCUGCUCUGGGUGAUCCUGCUCUGGCAGGGGAGCAGAACCAGAUGAUCUUUUGAGGUCCCUUCCAGCCUCUGACAUUCUGUGAUUCUAUCAGUCUAAGAUGAGGGAUUUGCUCUGGGAGGCAGAGAAGAGGGCCAGUCUUCAGCAGAUAUAUAAUAUCAAGUGGCCUGAACCCCUCAAAAAUGAAGGCAGAAGGCAGGAAAUACACUAAUAUAUAAGAAAGUACAAGAAUAUCU
This is a long non-coding RNA of Pogoniulus pusillus (Red-fronted tinkerbird), 912 nucleotides long. RefSeq lists it as uncharacterized. Lineage: Eukaryota; Metazoa; Chordata; Aves; Piciformes; Lybiidae. The transcript has 3 exons. The record is from RefSeq and is a predicted model, not a curated record.